Pangasianodon hypophthalmus (striped catfish) is the source of this 965-nucleotide long non-coding RNA. RefSeq lists it as uncharacterized. The record is from RefSeq and is a predicted model, not a curated record. The transcript is spliced from 3 exons. Lineage: Eukaryota; Metazoa; Chordata; Actinopteri; Siluriformes; Pangasiidae.
GUAGAACCUGGCGGUUUUAAAAAAUGUAAAUGUUAGAAACGUUCAUGAUCAUUAUUACUAUCUAUAACUCUGAUGAAAACUGUAAAAUAUUAGUUUUUUUUUUAUUACACUUGAACGAGCGGCUAAAAUGUAAAGGGAAAAAAAACUUCCAUGUCACGUGACGUACAAGCCGGAAAAGGAGAAAUGAUUUCAGGCGUCUCAUGCACGUGCGGUAAUACCGGCGCCACUGUGUGGCUGAUUGCUCACUCUGAGCUGCAGCAGUGUGGAUAACAACACUGUCCAACACUAAAAUUAGUCACUUUAUCUACUCUAACCCGAUUUCUAGAGGCAGACAGUGAGAACUAAAUAAAUCUACUUUGUGCUACUGUUGUGGAAUUUCAAAGUGCGGUCUAUGAUUUCCCUCAGUUUGUAAAGAUCUGGGAGAAGCGCAUUAUAUCUAAUAUUAUGUCUAAUCUGAUCACGUGAUUUAGAUGACACUAAUGGUCGCACCAUUUAUACUGCUUUGCUUUGAUUGAAGUGAUUAGUUUCCAACAGUGAAGCAGAAAACAACAAAAGGUUCACUUUCAAAACUGAAACUAAUUAAGAACUAGCUGAAGAGCAGCAUAUAUGUGUCAGGGAAUAUUUAAUUGUUUGGCUAUACUCUCCAGUGAGUGUGUUAAUUAAAGAACAUCAUGGAGGACUUUGCUGAAACUAAUGGUCUUCAGAUGACUCACAAGGAUGACAAGGAUCACACUUCCCUUGCUGAACCAGUUCCACAUGUUCAACAGCACUGUGGCACCUGGAGAAAGGAGAUUGCGGAACACGUUCAACCUUACUGAAUGGCUAGCAUAAACAUGGAAAAUAUGCCUGGGUCAGAAUUUAAAUAAAUAGAUGUAAUCAUUGCACUUCAUCAGACAAGUAUUGAAAUGAUGAGAAAUACUUUUUUUUGUUUUGUUUAACAGCAAGUUUUUUUUGUUUUUUUUUUU